GUGGCUCAUUGGUGAAGCAUAGGACUUGCAUGCCUGAAGUCCCGGGUUCAAUUCCUGGC
RNAcentral lists this transfer RNA (59 nucleotides) under Erinaceus europaeus (western European hedgehog). It matches the Rfam family "tRNA", at positions 7 to 64 of the family's 71-position model. From Rfam's summary of the family: Transfer RNA (tRNA) molecules are approximately 80 nucleotides in length. Their secondary structure includes four short double-helical elements and three loops (D, anti-codon, and T loops). Lineage: Eukaryota; Metazoa; Chordata; Mammalia; Eulipotyphla; Erinaceidae. The record is from Rfam by way of RNAcentral.